This 1241-nucleotide ribosomal RNA is filed under the name metagenome. RNAcentral describes it as "bacterial LSU rRNA". It matches the Rfam family "Bacterial large subunit ribosomal RNA", at positions 1564 to 2815 of the family's 2925-position model. The record is from RNAcentral.
UGAAUACGAGAUGCUACGGCGUCGAAGCAGUCUAUGUCAUACUUCCAAGAAAAGCUUGCACUGUCAUAAACAAAUAAUGCCUGUACCAUAACCGACACAGGUGGGUAGGUAGAGUAUACUAAGGGGCGCGAGAUAACUCUCUCUAAGGAACUCGGCAAAAUGACUCCGUGACUUCGGGAGAAGGAGUGCCUUAUUUAUAAGGUUGCAAUAACAAGAUCCAAGCAACUGUUUACCAAAAACACAGGUCUCCGCUAAGUCGUAAGACGAUGUAUGGGGGCUGACGCCUGCCCAGUGCCAGAAGGUUAAAGAAGUUGGUUAGCAUCCGCGAAGCUGAUAACUGAAGCCCUGGUGAACGGCGGCCGUAACAAUAACGGUCCUAAGGUAGCGAAAUUCCUUGUCGGGUAAGUUCCGACCCGCACGAAAGGCGUAAUGAUUUGGAUACUGUCUCGGAGAGGGGCUCGGUGAAAUAGACUUGUCUGUGAAAAUGCGGACUACCUGCACCAGGACAGAAAGACCCUAUGAAGCUUUACUGUAACCUGAAAUUGAAAUUGGACUUUACUUGCGCAGUAUAGGUGGGAGGCGUUGAGAAUAUUCUUGCGGGAUUAUUGGAGCCAUCAGUGAGAUACCACUCUUGUAAUGUUAGAUUUCUAACUUUGUAUCAUUAUCUGGUCAAAGAACAGUUUCAGGCGGGCAGUUUGACUGGGGCGGUCGCCUCCUAAACGGUAACGGAGGCGCACAAAGGUUUCCUCUGAACGGGUAGAAAUCGUAUCUAGAGUGUAAAGGCAUAAGGAAGCUUGACUGUGAGACCUACAAGUCGAGCAGGGACGAAAGUCGGUCUUAGUGAUCUGACGGUGCUGAGUGGAAAGGCCGUCACUCAACGGAUAAAAGUUACUCUAGGAUAACAGGCUGAUCUCCCCCAAGAGUUCACAUCGACGGGGAGGUUUGGCACCUCGAUGUCGGCUCAUCGCAUCCUGGGGCGGUAGUACGUCCCAAGGGUUGGGCUGUUCGCCCAUGAAAGCGGUACGCGAGCUGGGUUCAGAACGUCGUGAGACAGUUCGGUCCAUAUCCGGUGUAGGCGUUAGAAUAUUGAGAGGAGCCUUCUUUAGUACGAGAGGACCGAGAAGGACAUACCUCUGGUGUACCAGUUAUCGUGCCAACGGUAAACGCUGGGUAGCUAUGUGUGGAGUGGAUAACCGCUGAAAGCAUCUAAGUGGGAAGCCCACCUCAAGAUAAGUAUUCUC